This 490-nucleotide ribosomal RNA is filed under the name uncultured bacterium. RNAcentral's name for it is "partial 16S ribosomal RNA". It matches the Rfam family "Bacterial small subunit ribosomal RNA", at positions 30 to 507 of the family's 1533-position model. The record is from RNAcentral.
AUUGAACGCUGGCGGCAGGCUUAACACAUGCAAGUCGAGCGGUAGCACAAGAGAGCUUGCUCUCUGGGUGACGAGCGGCGGACGGGUGAGUAAUGUCUGGGAAACUGCCUGAUGGAGGGGGAUGACUACUGGAAACGGUAGCUAAUACCGCAUAACGUCGCAAGACCAAAGAGGGGGACCUUCGGGCCUCUUGCCAUCAGAUGUGCCCAGAUGGGAUUAGCUAGUAGGUGGGGUAAUGGCUCACCUAGGCGACGAUCCCUAGCUGGUCUGAGAGGAUGACCAGCCACACUGGAACUGAGACACGGUCCAGACUCCUACGGGAGGCAGCAGUGGGGAAUAUUGCACAAUGGGCGCAAGCCUGAUGCAGCCAUGCCGCGUGUGUGAAGAAGGCCUUCGGGUUGUAAAGCACUUUCAGCGAGGAGGAAGGUGGUGAACUUAAUACGUUCAUCAAUUGACGUUACUCGCAGAAGAAGCACCGGCUAACUCCGUG